This 497-nucleotide ribosomal RNA is filed under the name uncultured bacterium. Its description in RNAcentral is "partial 16S ribosomal RNA". It matches the Rfam family "Bacterial small subunit ribosomal RNA", at positions 28 to 507 of the family's 1533-position model. The record is from RNAcentral.
GACGAACGCUGGCGGCGUGCCUAAUACAUGCAAGUCGAGCGAUGAAGAUUGGUGCUUGCACCAAUUUGGAGAGCAGCGAACGGGUGAGUAACGCGUGGGGAAUCUGCCUUUGAGCGGGGGACAACAUUUGGAAACGAAUGCUAAUACCGCAUAACAUCUUUAAACAUAAGUUUUAAGUUUGAAAGAUGCAAUUGCAUCACUCAAAGAUGAUCCCGCGUUGUAUUAGCUAGUUGGUGAGGUAAAGGCUCACCAAGGCGAUGAUACAUAGCCGACCUGAGAGGGUGGUCGGCCACACUGGGACUGUGACACGGCCCAAACUCCCACGGGAGGCAGCAGGAGGGCAUCUUCGGCCAUGGGCGAAAGUCUGACCGAGCAACGCCGCGUGAGUGAAGAAGGUUUUCGGAUCGGAAAACUCUGUUUGUAGGGAAGAACGUUGGUGGGAGUGGAAAGCUCAUCAAGUGACGGUAACUACCCAGAAAGCGACGGCUAACUACGUG